RNAcentral lists this ribosomal RNA (523 nucleotides) under Lodderomyces parapsilosis. Its description in RNAcentral is "eukaryotic LSU rRNA". The stretch from base 183 to 336 matches the Rfam family "5.8S ribosomal RNA". Lineage: Eukaryota; Fungi; Ascomycota; Pichiomycetes; Serinales; Debaryomycetaceae. The record is from RNAcentral.
CUUCCGUAGGUGAACCUGCGGAAGGAUCAUUACAGAAUGAAAAGUGCUUAACUGCAUUUUUUCUUACACAUGUGUUUUUCUUUUUUUGAAAACUUUGCUUUGGUAGGCCUUCUAUAUGGGGCCUGCCAGAGAUUAAACUCAACCAAAUUUUAUUUAAUGUCAACCGAUUAUUUAAUAGUCAAAACUUUCAACAACGGAUCUCUUGGUUCUCGCAUCGAUGAAGAACGCAGCGAAAUGCGAUAAGUAAUAUGAAUUGCAGAUAUUCGUGAAUCAUCGAAUCUUUGAACGCACAUUGCGCCCUUUGGUAUUCCAAAGGGCAUGCCUGUUUGAGCGUCAUUUCUCCCUCAAACCCUCGGGUUUGGUGUUGAGCGAUACGCUGGGUUUGCUUGAAAGAAAGGCGGAGUAUAAACUAAUGGAUAGGUUUUUUCCACUCAUUGGUACAAACUCCAAAACUUCUUCCAAAUUCGACCUCAAAUCAGGUAGGACUACCCGCUGAACUUAAGCAUAUCAAUAAGCGGAAGGA